This is a long non-coding RNA of Ruditapes philippinarum (Manila clam), 510 nucleotides long. RefSeq lists it as uncharacterized. The record is from RefSeq and is a predicted model, not a curated record. NCBI's taxonomy places the organism in Eukaryota, Metazoa, Mollusca, Bivalvia, Venerida, Veneridae. The transcript is spliced from 3 exons.
CAUGGUUGUUACAUUUAUAUUUUCUAUAAAGAACUAUGUUUAUAAUCUGCAAACUUGUAGACAGAAGAUAAACGUAUUUAGAAACUGUCAAAUUAAUCAAUCAUUUGUAAAUAAAGAGUGUAUUAGACUUCUUCAAUGAUCGCAAACGAUUUUAUUAAAGUUUAAAGUGGAAUAAGAAGUUAUUGGAAUAACAUAAACAAGGUUAGAUGCCUGUAGCUAAAAACCUACUGCAAUCUGUGUGUUGAAAAUAUUCUAGCGGCGGCUCCUCACAGAGAGAUAGUUUAUGGGGUAACUUCUCAAUGAUAUAAGCAUGUUUCGUGUGACAAAGAAUAAAAGUCCCAGAGGUAAAUCCGGUGGUGUAAUAACAACUCAUUGCGACGACAACAGCAGUAACACAGAAAUAGGUAAUAGGGUUUUUGCUAACUUCAACUCAUCGUCACAGAGUCUUUCCACAAGAAGCCUUCUUACACAAAGAAACAAUGACUACAUGAAAUUUUCGUGGGACCCAAU